Molecule: ribosomal RNA, 136 nt
Filed under: Aspergillus niger
Lineage: Eukaryota; Fungi; Ascomycota; Eurotiomycetes; Eurotiales; Aspergillaceae
Also listed under: 2 other names
Description: partial 28S ribosomal RNA
Rfam family: Eukaryotic large subunit ribosomal RNA
Source: RNAcentral
UUGACCUCGGAUCAGGUAGGGAUACCCGCUGAACUUAAGCAUAUCAAUAAGCGGAGGAAAAGAAACCAACCGGGAUUGCCUCAGUAACGGCGAGUGAAGCGGCAAGAGCUCAAAUUUGAAAGCUGGCUCCUUCGGA